GUCGUAACAAGGUAACCGUAGGGGAACCUGCGGUUGGAUCACCUCCUUACCUAAAAUGAAGC
This 62-nucleotide ribosomal RNA is filed under the name Pasteurella multocida. RNAcentral's name for it is "partial 16S ribosomal RNA". Lineage: Bacteria; Pseudomonadati; Pseudomonadota; Gammaproteobacteria; Pasteurellales; Pasteurellaceae. RNAcentral also lists the same sequence under 1 other name. The record is from RNAcentral.